CAAUAGCGUAUACUAAUGUUGUUGCAGUUAAAAAGCUCGUAGUUGAACUUCUGGUAGGAGUGUCCCGGCCUUUUUGUUUUUACAAAUUGUAUGCUGUGUGACAUCUCUGGCCAUCCUUCUUCUUUGUUUAAAGAAGAUCUUUCACUGUAAAAAAAUUAGGGUGUUCAAAGCAAAAGUUUCUUUGGAAUAUAUUAGUAUGGGAUGAUAAGAUAGGCUCUAGAUGCUAUUUUGUUGGUUUGCACAUUUAGAGAAUGAUUAACAGGGACAGUUGGGGGUAUUCGUAUUUACAUGUCAGAGGUGAAAUUCUUGGAUUUUGGAAAGACGAACUACUGCGAAAGCAUUUGCCAAGGAUGUUUUCAUUGA
This 363-nucleotide ribosomal RNA is filed under the name uncultured eukaryote. RNAcentral describes it as "partial 18S ribosomal RNA". It matches the Rfam family "Eukaryotic small subunit ribosomal RNA", at positions 592 to 976 of the family's 1831-position model. The record is from RNAcentral.